This 721-nucleotide long non-coding RNA is filed under the name Cricetulus griseus (Chinese hamster). Its description in RNAcentral is "lncRNA (ENSCGRG00015039401.1)". The record is from RNAcentral. Lineage: Eukaryota; Metazoa; Chordata; Mammalia; Rodentia; Cricetidae.
GUGGACUGUUGUUUGUAAUUUUGAAAGUAGUGAAAAGGCCACAGUGGGGUUCGGUGACUUAACCUAAUUCAGGCAGAAACCCACAGCAGGUGAUUGAUUCCUUUAGGUGGCUAACACCACAACAGGAGAAGAAAAGAGGUGCUAAAACAAGAAUGUUGAGUUGUUGAGCUGGAGAAAGAAAGGGGCUGAGCUUCAGGAAACGGAAAACAAAAGGACUUAAGGCAACAUGAGAGCCUCUAUGAAGGGAGUUCAAGAAGCACAAAACAAGCACAGGAAAGGAAUAUUUUGACCUCUAACUCAGACAGCCUUUCCGAUGCAUGCUCAGGAGGAAGUUGGCUGGUCAUAUGCUAGAUACAAAAAAGUGACAAACUGCUAUGUGUGGUGGCGUAUACCUACAAUCCUAGAGCUUGGAAAGCUCAGAUAAGAGGAGUGCUACAAGUUCAAGUCAGCCUGGGAUCCAUAGCAAAAAGCUGCCUCAAAUAAAACAAAACACCUCCCAAACCAAACCAAACCAAACCAAACUAAAAAGGAAGUGUCAAACUGGUUUUUGGUUCAUGAUACAGUAAAACCCACAUGAGGACUGGAAAAAUGGCUACUGGAUAAAGACACCUGCUGCCAGGCAGGAUAUGACACUCUCAUGAAAAAAUAUUCUCCUCACUAGAAAUGUACAGACUACAUUGUAACAGAUAAAUCUUGGGGUUUGUCAAAAUCUAAAUAAAAC